UACGUAGGGGGCAAGCGUUGUCCGGAAUUAUUGGGCGUAAAGAGCUCGUAGGCGGUUUGUCGCGUCUGCUGUGAAAACUCAGGGCUUAACUCUGAGCUUGCAGUGGGUACGGGCAGACUAGAGUGCGGUAGGGGAGACUGGAAUUCCUGGUGUAGCGGUGAAAUGCGCAGAUAUCAGGAGGAACACCGGUGGCGAAGGCGGGUCUCUGGGCCGUAACUGACGCUGAGGAGCGAAAGCAUGGGGAGCGAACAGG
RNAcentral lists this ribosomal RNA (253 nucleotides) under uncultured bacterium. Its description in RNAcentral is "partial 16S ribosomal RNA". It matches the Rfam family "Bacterial small subunit ribosomal RNA", at positions 524 to 776 of the family's 1533-position model. The record is from RNAcentral.